This is a long non-coding RNA of Oncorhynchus tshawytscha (Chinook salmon), 1206 nucleotides long. The record is from Ensembl. Lineage: Eukaryota; Metazoa; Chordata; Actinopteri; Salmoniformes; Salmonidae.
GGAGGCUGAGACAAGAGGGGUCAGGAGACACUGUGGCCCCAUCCGACGAUACUCCUGGACAGGGCCAACCGAGCAGAAUAAAACCCCACCCACCUUGCCAAAGUACAGCCCCCACACCACAAUAACAUCUGCUAAACACUUGUAUGUGACCAAUACAGUUAGAUUUUUUUUUUUUUAAAUAAACACUUUGAAAUUUGACAUUAGGAGAAUGUGUUAAUUCUGCAGUGAGACGGAGCUUGUUGGGUCUACUCUCCCACAUCCUCUUCAGUACGCAGACUGCACCACCUGCUGGUGUGAGGGUACCAUGGUCCUGGUAACAGUUGACGAUCGUUUCAAUAGUAUCAUCAGAAUGAUAUCACAAGGUUAAUUAAUAAGAGACUAACACAUUAAGGAUUUUGGAAAGUAGGACUUAUUUAAUGUAAUUAUUGCAAAGGUUUUUAAAAAAAAAACAUUUUUUUUUAAAGUGAUGCUCAGUGAGAGAAAAACAAAUGAUGUAGAAAUCCAUUCAAUUAUCAACAACACUUUAUAAGACAGCCCUCUCUGGGCAUGGAAAUGGUUGUUAAGUAUUUACCACCAUAGAUAGAAUGUACAAAAUAAUAUCACUUAAUUUCCAAAACAAUUCAAAGAAUUCAAUCCUUUUUGUUUCAAUAUGAACCCUUUUCUUUUACAGGUUAAUAUGUUUAGGCCCGGUCCCAGAUCUGGUCUCCCCCACAGCCCGGUCCCAGAUCCCUGGUCUCCUACAACCCGGUCCCAGAUCCCUGGUCUCCUACAGCCCGGUCCCUGAUCUGUGGUCUCCUACAACCCGGUCCCUGAUCUGUGGUCUCCUACAACCCGGUCCCUGGUCUCCUACAGCCCGGUCCCUGAUCUGCGGCUUACAGGCCCGGCACCGCAGGCUAGUUUAACAUUAUAAAAAAGGUUCUGUCAGUAACAUAAAGCAAUAGGAGAAAUAAGAACCCUAAAAUGCAAUUCUUCAAACCAAUCCUGCACCAGCAGUACUAAGCAAGAUGAUUGGAUGGGAGGAUAGGAAGAUGUACUGAGCAACACUAACCUAAGAGCAAGUGCACAGGAAGCCACACUAGUAAACACAGCAGGAUAUCAAUGAAGUGCACAGGAAGCCACACUAGUAAACACAGCAGGAUAUCAAUGAAGUGCACAGGAAGCCACACUAGUAAACACAGCAGGAUAUCAAUGAAGUGCACAGGAAGG